GUGAGGAAUAUUGGUCAAUGGGCGGGAGCCUGAACCAGCCAAGUCGCGUGAAGGAAGAAGGAUCUAUGGUUCGUAAACUUCUUUUGUAGGGGAAUAAAGUGCAGGACGUGUCCUGUUUUGUAUGUACCCUGAGAAUAAGGAUCGGCUAACUCCGUGCCAGCAGCCGCGGUAAUACGGAGGAUCCGAGCGUUAUCCGGAUUUAUUGGGUUUAAAGGGUGCGUAGGUGGUUUGAUAAGUCAGCGGUGAAAGUUUGCAGCUUAACUGUAAAAAUGCCGUUGAAACUGUCGGACUUGAGUGUAAAUGAGGUAGGCGGAAUGCGUGGUGUAGCGGUGAAAUGCAUAGAUAUCACGCAGAACUCCGAUUGCGAAGGCAGCUUACUAAGCUACAACUGACACUGAAGCACGAAAGCGUGGGGAUCAAACAGGAUUAGAUACCCGAGUAGUCC
This 445-nucleotide ribosomal RNA is filed under the name uncultured bacterium. Its description in RNAcentral is "partial 16S ribosomal RNA". It matches the Rfam family "Bacterial small subunit ribosomal RNA", at positions 354 to 796 of the family's 1533-position model. The record is from RNAcentral.